ACACUUAAAAAUUCUUUAGAGACACGCUGGCUUGUUCUAUCUCGAUGACAAACAUACAUUCUCAACCCUGCUUGACGUCAUAAACUUCUACAAACAGCAUAAUCUCGCUCCGGGAGUGAAACUAAUCAAAGCAUGCACAAAACAAGAGCCCGUGUUGAAGGACUUGUCCCAUUCCACUGUGGAUGCUUGGGAACGGCCAAAAGAGGAGUUUACGCUUCAUUCAAAACUGGGCGCUGGGAAUUUUGGGACAGUCUUUGAAGGAUUUUGGAAACAGCAGGUCAAAGUGGCGAUUAAAGUGUUGAGAAAGGAAACCAUGAAUUUCAAAGACUUCCAGGCCGAGACUCAGAUCAUGAAAAAACUCUCUCAUAAACACCUGCUCUCCCUCUACGCUGUGUGUGUGAGCGAGGAUACAUUUUACAUCGUGACUGAGCUGAUGGAGAAAGGGAGCCUUCUACAGUAUCUCAGGAGUAAGUGGACUGGCUCUUUCUGGUUAAGCAGGCUGGUGUUCUUAAACACCAUAGCACAAUGUGACAGCAAUGUUAUAGAAAGCUGUUGAGUUUUGUUUUCUGCACUAUAAAAAUGAUAAUUUGUCAACAGUACAUUACAAAGGACAGUACAUUACAUUACAAAUCCACAGCAGGACAUUUUUGGACCUUAUUACAAAUGAAGCAGUGAAACGCUAAAAAAAUCUAUAUGCACUCCCAGUAUUUUUGAGAUACUAGUGGUGUUAUAUGCACCCUUCUGUAGGUGUAGAAGUGGCAGAUAUCCACCAGA
Molecule: long non-coding RNA, 774 nt
Organism: Polyodon spathula (Mississippi paddlefish)
Lineage: Eukaryota; Metazoa; Chordata; Actinopteri; Acipenseriformes; Polyodontidae
Exons: 3
Source: RefSeq, a predicted model, not a curated record